RNAcentral lists this ribosomal RNA (497 nucleotides) under uncultured bacterium. RNAcentral describes it as "partial 16S ribosomal RNA". It matches the Rfam family "Bacterial small subunit ribosomal RNA", at positions 28 to 507 of the family's 1533-position model. The record is from RNAcentral.
GAUGAACGCUGGCGGCGUGCCUAAUACAUGCAAGUCGAGCGAACGGACGAGAAGCUUGCUUUUCUGAUGUUAGCGGCGGACGGGUGAGUAACACGUGGAUAACCUACCUAUAAGACUGGGAUAACUUCGGGAAACCGGAGCUAAUACCGGAGAAGAUUUUGCACCGCAGGGUUCAUAAGUGAAAUACGGUCUUGCUGUCACUUAUAGAUGGAUCUGCGCUGCAUUAGCUGGUUGGUAAGGUAACGGCUUACCAAGGCAACGAUGCAUAGCCGACCUGAGAGGGGGAUCGGCCACCCUGGAACUGAGACACGGUCCAGACUACUACGGGAGGCCGCAGUAGGGAAUCUGCCGCAAUGGGCGAAAGCCUGACGGAGCAGCGCGGCGCGAGUGGUGACGGUCUUCGGAUCGUAAAACUCGGUUAUUAGGGAAGAACCUCUGUGUAAGUAGCUGUGGACAGCGUGACGGUACCUAAUCAGAAAGCAACGGCUAACUACGUG